Molecule: ribosomal RNA, 440 nt
Filed under: uncultured bacterium
Lineage: Bacteria
Description: partial 16S ribosomal RNA
Rfam family: Bacterial small subunit ribosomal RNA
Source: RNAcentral
CCUACGGGAGACAGCAGUAGGGAAUAUUGCUCAAUGGGGGAAACCCUGAAGCAGCAACGCCGCGUGGAGGAUGAAGGUUUUCGGAUUGUAAACUCCUUUUGUUAGAGAAGAUAAUGACGGUAUCUAACGAAUAAGCACCGGCUAACUCCGUGCCAGCAGCCGCGGUAAUACGGAGGGUGCAAGCGUUACUCGGAAUCACUGGGCGUAAGGAGCGCGUAGGCGGGAUAGCAAGUCAGAUGUGAAAUCCUAUGGCUUAACCAUAGAACUGCAUUUGAAACUGUUAUUCUAGAGUAUGGGAGAGGUAGGUGGAAUUCUUGGUGUAGGGGUAAAAUCCGUAGAGAUCAAGAGGAAUACUCAUUGCGAAGGCGACCUGCUAGAACAUAACUGACGCUGAUGCGCGAAAGCGUGGGGAGCAAACAGGAUUAGAGACCCGGGUAGUC